GUUCCUGUAGUUUAGUGGUUAGCACAUUUGCUUUACACACAAAAGGUCUCUGGUUUGAAACCAGACAGAAAUG
Poecilia formosa (Amazon molly) is the source of this 73-nucleotide non-coding RNA. The record is from Rfam. NCBI's taxonomy places the organism in Eukaryota, Metazoa, Chordata, Actinopteri, Cyprinodontiformes, Poeciliidae.